This 28-nucleotide non-coding RNA is filed under the name Rattus norvegicus (Norway rat). The record is from RNAcentral. Lineage: Eukaryota; Metazoa; Chordata; Mammalia; Rodentia; Muridae.
UCACCCUAUGGUGAACUUCAGGUUAGCC